AGUUCUAUCAAUCCAGCUUCUUCAGGAUGAUGGGGAACAUGCUCCUGAAAUCGUUUGGGUAAGCAAUUGCUGAUUUUAGUCAAAUUCCCUCACCUCACAAAAAGGCUGGAGUGCAGUGACGUGAACUCGGCUUACUGUAACCUCUGCCCCCACCAGGUUCAAGCAAUUCUCGUACCUCAGCCUCCCAAGUAGCUGGGAUUACAGUGAAGUUUCUGAAAAGUAAUACAGCAGGCAAAUAAAAUCUGCAGGAGACAGCAGAAGGAAAAGCAAUUAUUCUGAAUAAUCUACACAUAAAAAAUAUGAUUUUGUUUGAUAUUUACCACCCCCUUCAAUUUUGAGGAGCGAUUACUUCCAAAUGAGGCAUGUAUGCUGAGUUGUUCUUUGACUCAUCUAUAAAGCUUUUAGCAAAUUGAGGGAAUUUGAAUUUCUAACAUCAAAAUGCAAUGUACAAAGGAGGAAAAAAUAUGACUCACCCAGCCCCCAAAUUUCAUAUUUAUAUCUCUGAUUGAAUCUGGUUUUAAAGGUAAGCAUAGUGACUGCAGCUGGUUUAUAGAUAAGCAAAUAGUAACAUAUAUGUUAACCUGCUCAACAUUAAGUUAUGCAUCUGAUUUCAUCCAAAAUAAACAUGCCCAUUCCAUUUUUCUGGUUUACUUUGUCUGCAAACCUGUAUGAUUUUGUGCUUAGCUUAUUCAUCUAGGCAGAUUGAUUUCUUUUGCAUGGCUCAUUUGGGCCACAGAGGAUUAGCAAAGUUUAUGUAUUGAAAACAGAAAGAAAGAAAGGCGAGAAAAAUAAAAAGACUGAUUAAUCAUAUAGUACAUACAUCAAUACAAUAUCUUCUAAAUCUCAAUCAGUUGUUUAUUGGUUGGCAAACAAGUUUCACUUUUACAACAAAUAUUAGUAAUGAGGUCAUCCAACUUUGAGACCAUACAAAAUGGAUCAUAAAUUAAAAAAAAAUUAUAUGUGCUGCUAAUUUACCUUUUGUAUUCCUACAUUACUCAAAAUCCUGUCAAAUAAAUAAAUUUUCCUGUUAAUAAACAGAAGACUUUUUUUUAAAAAAAUCACUUCAAAAUAAUUUGACCUUCCAAUGCUUACGAGGGAGUGAAUUUCCUCUAAAAAGUGGUAGUGCAGGUGCCCACUUGUUGAUCAGACUGAGCAUUCAGCACUUUAAUGCCUAUGGAAAACCGUUUUUCACAUGCAGAAGCCCCACUAGUUCUAUAGACACCUUUUGACUUCUAGAAUCAUAGCUAGUGUCCUGGUGAUGAACUGCUUGCCAAAUAUGCUUUGCAUUACAACAGACGUGCCCUGUAAACAUAAAAGUUUGUCCUGCUCUAAUUUGCAAAAAACACUGUUGGAAAUAUUCUGACUGCAUAAAGAUAUAUAGUGAGGGAAGGAAGUCUAAUUUUAUUUAUUUUGUUUUUUUGUAAAAAAUAAUUUGUUUGCAUUACUAGAAAAUGAUUCUUAUAAAGUGAUAGUUCCAUUUAUUUAUUUUUUGCCAGGCGAAAUUUUAAAGGAAUAAAAGGCAAAAAAGAAAAAAAGAAAAUGAAGAAAGAGAAGAAAGGAAGGAAACUUUGCUCUCUUACUGGUAGACAAACUUGC
Molecule: long non-coding RNA, 1596 nt
Filed under: Homo sapiens (human)
Lineage: Eukaryota; Metazoa; Chordata; Mammalia; Primates; Hominidae
Description: PREDICTED lncRNA (TCONS_00206117)
Source: RNAcentral